UCUUCGGACGCUAUUCUCACCCUUUGUUUAUUAACUUUGUUGCUUUGGCAGGCCUCCGGCUUCGGCUGGGUCGUGUCUGCCAGAGGCCUAACUCUUGAAUCACUGCGGUCUGAGUACUAUAUAAUAGUUAAAACUUUCAACAACGGAUCUCUUGGUUCUGGCAUCGAUGAAGAACGCAGCGAAAUGCGAUAAUUAAUGUGAAUUGCAGACUCAGUGAAUCAUCGAAUCUUUGAACGCACAUUGCGCCCUCUGGUAUUCCGGGGGGCAUGCCUGUUCGAGCGUCAUUACAACCCUCAAGCUCUGCUUGGUGUUGGGCUCGCCCUGUAGGGCCUGCCUCAAAGUCAGUGGCGGCACCGUCUGACCCUAAGCGUAGUAAUACUCGCCGCUUGUGGACUCAGUGCGUGGCCUGCCAGCCAACCCCCACCAUCAAGGUUGACCUCGGAUCAGGUAGGGAUACCCGCUGAACUUAACCAUAUCAAAAGCCCGGAGGAA
Molecule: ribosomal RNA, 492 nt
Filed under: Lophodermium piceae
Lineage: Eukaryota; Fungi; Ascomycota; Leotiomycetes; Rhytismatales; Rhytismataceae
Description: eukaryotic LSU rRNA
Rfam family: 5.8S ribosomal RNA (bases 132-284)
Source: RNAcentral